AGAGAAAACAAAUUGGCACAAUUUGAAGUUGAUGAUCUCAGCUGUGUGAAGGAGUUGAAUUGCACUCACAGCUGAAGCACCGAGAGCCUUCAACUGUUCAGCGAGGCUUGCAAUACCGCCUCUUCACCGUUCAAGGAUACUGUGGAAACUGGAACAAUGGAACCAACCAUGCAGAACAGGGAACACCACAGAACUGAGCUGGUACACUCCCUUUUACAGCCAGUGUAGGGGGCAGGGAAAGGGAAGGAAAUCACAGACACGGAAAAGAGUAUUUACAUAAGCAGCGGAGAAACAAGAAUGGAAUUAACUGAAUAGCUCUUUCAAAGAGACAGCAGCACGACAGUCGGUCAAAUGGCC
Chiloscyllium plagiosum (whitespotted bambooshark) is the source of this 357-nucleotide non-coding RNA. The record is from RefSeq and is a predicted model, not a curated record. Lineage: Eukaryota; Metazoa; Chordata; Chondrichthyes; Orectolobiformes; Hemiscylliidae.